Molecule: ribosomal RNA, 799 nt
Filed under: Parasarocladium radiatum
Lineage: Eukaryota; Fungi; Ascomycota; Sordariomycetes; Hypocreales; Sarocladiaceae
Description: LSU rRNA
Rfam family: Eukaryotic large subunit ribosomal RNA
Source: RNAcentral
GAGUGAAGCGGCAACAGCUCAAAUUUGAAAUCUGGCCUUCGGGUCCGAGUUGUAAUUUGCAGAGGAUGCUUUUGACGAGGUGGCGACCGAGUGCCCUGGAACGGGCCGCCGUAGAGGGUGAGAGCCCCGUAUGGUCGCACUGCCGAGUCUCUGUAAAGCUCCUUCAACGAGUCGAGUAGUUUGGGAAUGCUGCUCUAAAUGGGAGGUGUAUGUCUUCUAAAGCUAAAUACCGGCCAGUGACCGAUAGCGCACAAGUAGAGUGAUCGAAAGGUGAAAAGAACUUUGAAAAGAGAGUUAAAAAGUACGUGAAAUUGUCAAAAGGGAAGCAUUUAUGACCAGACUUGGGCGUGGUUGAUCAUCCGGCGUUCUCGCCGGUGCACUCUGCCCGCCUAGGCCAGCAUCAGUUCGCCUCGGGGGAGAAAGGCUUCGGGAAUGUAGCUCCUUCGGGAGUGUUAUAGCCCGUUGCGUAAUGCCCUGGGGUGGACUGAGGUCCGCGCUCGCGCUUGGAUGUUGGCAUAAUGGUCAUCAAUGACCCGUCUUGAAACACGGACCAAGGAGUCGUCUUCGUAUGCGAGUGUUCGGGUGUCAAACCCCUACGCGAAAUGAAAGUGAACGCAGGUGGGAGCUUCGGCGCACCACCGACCGAUCCUGAUGUUCUCGGAUGGAUUUGAGUAAGAGCAUACGGGGCCGGACCCGAAAGAAGGUGAACUAUGCCUGUGUAGGGUGAAGCCAGAGGAAACUCUGGUGGAGGCUCGCAGCGGUUCUGACGUGCAAAUCGAUUCGUCAAACAAUGGGCAAU